AGAGUUUGAUCCUGGCUCAGGACGAACGCUGGCGGCGUGCUUAACACAUGCAAGUCGAGCGAUGAAGCUUCCUUCGGGGAGUGGAUUAGCGGCGGACGGGUGAGUAACACGUGGGUAACCUGCCUCAAAGUGGGGGAUAGCCUUCCGAAAGGAAGAUUAAUACCGCAUAAUAUAGAGAGAAUCGCAUGAUUUUCUUAUCAAAGAUUUAUUGCUUUGAGAUGGACCCGCGGCGCAUUAGCUAGUUGGUAAGGUAACGGCUUACCAAGGCAACGAUGCGUAGCCGACCUGAGAGGGUGAUCGGCCACAUUGGAACUGAGACACGGUCCAGACUCCUACGGGAGGCAGCAGUGGGGAAUAUUGCGCAAUGGGGGAAACCCUGACGCAGCAACGCCGCGUGGGUGAUGAAGGUCUUCGGAUUGUAAAGCCCUGUUUUCUAGGACGAUAAUGACGGUACUAGAGGAGGAAGCCACGGCUAACUACGUGCCAGCAGCCGCGGUAAUACGUAGGUGGCGAGCGUUGUCCGGAUUUACUGGGCGUAAAGGGUGCGUAGGCGGAUGUUUAAGUGGGAUGUGAAAUCCCCGGGCUUAACCUGGGGGCUGCAUUCCAAACUGGAUAUCUAGAGUGCAGGAGAGGAAAGCGGAAUUCCUAGUGUAGCGGUGAAAUGCGUAGAGAUUAGGAAGAACACCAGUGGCGAAGGCGGCUUUCUGGACUGUAACUGACGCUGAGGCACGAAAGCGUGGGUAGCAAACAGGAUUAGAUACCCUGGUAGUCCACGCCGUAAACGAUGGAUACUAGGUGUAGGGGGUAUCAACUCCCCCUGUGCCGCAGUUAACACAAUAAGUAUCCCGCCUGGGGAGUACGGUCGCAAGAUUAAAACUCAAAGGAAUUGACGGGGGCCCGCACAAGCAGCGGAGCAUGUGGUUUAAUUCGAAGCAACGCGAAGAACCUUACCUGGACUUGACAUCCCUUGCAUAGCCUAGAGAUAGGUGAAGCCCUUCGGGGCAAGGAGACAGGUGGUGCAUGGUUGUCGUCAGCUCGUGUCGUGAGAUGUUAGGUUAAGUCCUGCAACGAGCGCAACCCUUGUUAUUAGUUGCUACCAUUAAGUUGAGCACUCUAAUGAGACUGCCUGGGUAACCAGGAGGAAGGUGGGGAUGACGUCAAAUCAUCAUGCCCCUUAUGUCCAGGGCUACACACGUGCUACAAUGGUAGGUACAAUAAGACGCAAGACCGUGAGGUGGAGCAAAACUUAUAAAACCUAUCUCAGUUCGGAUUGUAGGCUGCAACUCGCCUACAUGAAGCUGGAGUUGCUAGUAAUCGCGAAUCAGAAUGUCGCGGUGAAUACGUUCCCGGGCCUUGUACACACCGCCCGUCACACCAUGAGAGCUGGUAACACCCGAAGUCCGUGAGGUAACCGUAAGGAGCCAGCGGCCGAAGGUGGGAUUAGUGAUUGGGGUGAAGUCGUAACAAGGUAGCCGUAGGAGAACCUGCGGCUGGAUCACCU
RNAcentral lists this ribosomal RNA (1501 nucleotides) under Clostridium botulinum. Its description in RNAcentral is "bacterial SSU rRNA". It matches the Rfam family "Bacterial small subunit ribosomal RNA". Lineage: Bacteria; Bacillati; Bacillota; Clostridia; Eubacteriales; Clostridiaceae. The record is from RNAcentral.